Molecule: long non-coding RNA, 230 nt
Filed under: Elaeis guineensis (African oil palm)
Lineage: Eukaryota; Viridiplantae; Streptophyta; Magnoliopsida; Arecales; Arecaceae
Description: long non-coding RNA (EGUI_LNC022971)
Source: RNAcentral
GUGUAGGCUUUGCGGUACUCAUGUGCAUUCUUAAAUAGAUUAAGCCAAUAAAAUCCACAUUGGAGAACUUUUGCGAUAGUUUUUUUAGAUCCAAAUGGCCACCACAGGCUUGGUUGUGACAAAAGGAUAUGAUACUUUUGAUCUCAUAAUCCGGGGCACAUCUUCUAAUGAUUUGGUCAGGAUAUUGUUUAAUAGAUAUGGAUCAUCCCAAAUAAAAUAUUUUACUUAAG